GACGAACGCUGGCGGCGUGCUUAACACAUGCAAGUCGAACGGAAACGCCUUCUUUCCCUUGUGGAUUGCGUGUCCUCGGGUGGCGAACGGGGGAGUACCACGGGAUUUAUCUUCCCCCAACUUGGGACUAAGCCUGGGAAACUGGGUCACAUUCCCGAUCCGACUGCAGGGUGGUGCCUGUGUUGGAAAACGAUUUUCUUGAGGUUGCGGAUGAGCUGGCGGCCUAUCAGCUUGUGGGUGGGGUAAUGGCCGACCAAGGCGGCGACGGGUAGCCGGCCUGGGAGGGGGGACGGCAACAGUUGGACUGAGAUACGGCCCAGACUGCUACGGGAGGCAGCAGUGGGGAAGAUUGCACAAUGGGCGGAAGCCUGAUGCAGCGACGCCGCGUGGGGGAUGACGGCCUUCGGGGUGUAAACUCCUGUCGACCGCGAGGAAGCCACCUGGUUGGAAGGGUGGUGACGGUAGUGGUAGAAGAAGCACCGGCUAACUACGUG
RNAcentral lists this ribosomal RNA (494 nucleotides) under uncultured bacterium. RNAcentral's name for it is "partial 16S ribosomal RNA". It matches the Rfam family "Bacterial small subunit ribosomal RNA", at positions 28 to 507 of the family's 1533-position model. The record is from RNAcentral.